Molecule: ribosomal RNA, 502 nt
Filed under: uncultured bacterium
Lineage: Bacteria
Description: bacterial SSU rRNA
Rfam family: Bacterial small subunit ribosomal RNA
Source: RNAcentral
GAUGAACGCUAGCGGCAGGCCUAACACAUGCAAGUCGAGGGGCAGCGGGGGUAGCAAUACCUGCCGGCGACCGGCGCACGGGUGCGUAACGCGUAUGCAACCUGCCCACUCCCGGGGGAUAGCCCGCCGAAAGGCGGAUUAAUACCCCAUGGACCCUUAGCCCCGCAUGGGGCGGAGGGUAAAGCUCCGGCGGGAAUGGAUGGGCAUGCGUGCCAUUAGCUGGCUGGCGGGGUAACGGCCCACCAGGGCUACGAUGGCUAGGGGGUCUGAGAGGAUGAUCCCCCACACUGGUACUGAGACACGGACCAGACUCCUACGGGAGGCAGCAGUGAGGAAUAUUGGUCAAUGGGCGGAAGCCUGAACCAGCCAUGCCGCGUGCAGGACGACGGCCCUACGGGUUGUAAACUGCUUUUCCGGGGGAAGAAUAAGGCCCAUGCGUGGGCCGAUGCCGGUACCCCGGGAAUAAGGAUCGGGCUAACUCCGUGCCAGCAGCCGCGGUAAU